Molecule: ribosomal RNA, 408 nt
Filed under: Globigerinoides ruber albus
Lineage: Eukaryota; Foraminifera; Rotaliida; Globigerinidae
Description: partial small subunit ribosomal RNA
Rfam family: Eukaryotic small subunit ribosomal RNA
Source: RNAcentral
GUGGAUAAACUCGGGGGACUGCUGACUAUAACCAUUUCUCAAAACAGAGGAAGGUUGCGGCAAUAACAGGUCUGUGAUGCCCUCAGAUGUCCCGGGCUGCACACGUGCUACAAUGAGUGGCGCAAUGUGCUAAUGUUUUAAGGGAUAAGCGUGCGGCCAGUAGAACGUCGGCAAUUGCCCUGGCGUCUUCUACCGCACGAUUAUCAGCCUUCCCUUAACAGGGCGGGCAACCUUUUCAAAAUACCGGUUUGAUGUUAAAGUAUAGAGUCGUUUUUUUUGGAUGGUGGUUUACGAACCAAUACCAUCCGCAACUGCUCGCGAGUUUGUGGUUCUGGUGACUCAUGGUGGGGACCGAUGUUUGUAAUUGUUUGUCGCGUGUCAACUAGGAAUGCCUUGUACUGUCGAUUC